UCGACGGUACGGAUGCCGGCCGACGGGUC
This 29-nucleotide small RNA is filed under the name Bombyx mori (domestic silkworm). RNAcentral describes it as "ovarian small RNA-7491". Lineage: Eukaryota; Metazoa; Arthropoda; Insecta; Lepidoptera; Bombycidae. The record is from RNAcentral.